CCUUCCUCUUCUCAUCCAAUGCCUGUUCCAUAGGGCAUAUGCACAUAGUAAGGUCAAAACAUACCAUGAUUAACUCACAUAAAAAUAUGAGCAAAAUAAAAAUGUUUUGCCUGUGCAUACUGCAUAGGUGCAUGUUCAUGCAUUUGUUAUGUUGGAUAAAACAGAUUAUUAGAAAAUGAAAAAUAAAAUAAAAAAUAACACAUAAUUUAGGUAAAAGGAACCAGAGUCCGCAUGUAGCCAAUUUCUCAUAAUCUUUGGAACCUCAAUGGUAGAAUGUUGAUGCAUUUGUGUUUCAGAGAGCAAACAGACUUAUCAUGAAUUAAUAUCAUUUGCCUUUGCCACUAAGUGAAAAGUUGUCAAACAUCAGGAAUUACCUAAAAAUGAAUAAGCAUUCUAAUAUACGUGAUAAGCAGGGAACCACAAAUGCUGGUAUUCUGUGAAAUGUCUCCGUGGACUAACUUGGUAUCAUUUAGUGAAGCUAAAAUCAUGCAUCUUAGAGCUGAGUUUCAUUCGUACUUCAUAUAGGUUCCUUUCUUGUAGUCAUAAUCAUCAAAAUAUUCUAUGUAUCUAAACAAAUAAGGUGACAUCAAAAAGUCGACAUGCAAACAAAACAACUAUGUAAGCACAUACAGAACAUGGCACAUUCUUCAAGUAGAAUUUGACAAGAUCCAAAAAGAAAAGUACCUUGCUUUGGAACAUUCUCAUUGUCAACACAAGAGUAUCACGUGUCCUAACAUCAUAUGUAUUG
RNAcentral lists this unclassified non-coding RNA (748 nucleotides) under Hevea brasiliensis (rubber tree). The record is from RNAcentral. Lineage: Eukaryota; Viridiplantae; Streptophyta; Magnoliopsida; Malpighiales; Euphorbiaceae.